GGCUUAAUAGCUUAAUGGUAAAGCAUUCAAGGUAAAACCGCAGACACCAGUGUGAAAGCCACUGACGAAAAAGAUACAAGUUCGAGUCUUGUUUGAGUCG
This 100-nucleotide transfer RNA is filed under the name Siphoviridae sp. ctXZx16. RNAcentral's name for it is "tRNA-OTHER". It matches the Rfam family "tRNA". Rfam says of the family: Transfer RNA (tRNA) molecules are approximately 80 nucleotides in length. Their secondary structure includes four short double-helical elements and three loops (D, anti-codon, and T loops). The record is from RNAcentral. RNAcentral also lists the same sequence under 1 other name. Lineage: Duplodnaviria; Heunggongvirae; Uroviricota; Caudoviricetes.